Molecule: ribosomal RNA, 486 nt
Filed under: uncultured bacterium
Lineage: Bacteria
Description: partial 16S ribosomal RNA
Rfam family: Bacterial small subunit ribosomal RNA
Source: RNAcentral
GAUGAACGCUGGCGGCGUGCCUAAUACAUGCAAGUCGAACGCUGGAAAUCUAGCUUGCUAGAUUGAAGGAGUGGCGAACGGGUGAGUAAUACAUAAGCAACCUACCCACGAAGACUGGGAUAAUCUCUGGAAACGGGGACUAAUACCGGAUAGGUAAUCGGAAGGCAUCUUCUGAUUAUUAAAGGUUAAAAACACUGGUGGAUGGGCUUAUGGCGCAUUAGUUAGUUGGUGAGGUAACGGCCCACCAAGACGAUGAUGCGUAGCCGGCCUGAGAGGGUGAACGGCCACAUUGGGACUGAGACACGGCCCAGACUCCUACGGGAGGCAGCAGUAGGGAAUUUUCAGCAAUGGGGGAAACCCUGACCGAGCAACGCCGCGUGAGUGAUGACGGCCUUCGGGUUGUAAAGCUCUGUUGUAAGGGAAGAACGGUAGAUAGAGAAUAUCUAAAUGACGGUACCUUACCAGAAAGCCACGGCUAACUACGUG